UCCCUGAGACCCUAACUUGUGAUGACUUUAAACAAUUUUCUUAUUCACAAGUUAGAUUUUCAGGUAUA
This 68-nucleotide microRNA precursor is filed under the name Brachionus plicatilis. RNAcentral describes it as "Bpl-Mir-10-P3_pre stem-loop". Lineage: Eukaryota; Metazoa; Rotifera; Eurotatoria; Ploima; Brachionidae. The record is from RNAcentral.